Molecule: ribosomal RNA, 437 nt
Filed under: uncultured Oscillospiraceae bacterium
Lineage: Bacteria; Bacillati; Bacillota; Clostridia; Eubacteriales; Oscillospiraceae
Description: partial 16S ribosomal RNA
Rfam family: Bacterial small subunit ribosomal RNA
Source: RNAcentral
ACGGAAGGCAGCAGUGGGGAAUAUUGGGCAAUGGGCGAAAGCCUGACCCAGCAACGCCGCGUGAAGGAAGAAGGUCUUCGGAUUGUAAACUUCUUUUAUGAGGGACGAAGGACGUGACGGUACCUCAUAAAUAAGCCACGGCUAACUACGUGCCAGCAGCCGCGGUAAUACGUAGGUGGCAAGCGUUAUCCGGAUUUACUGGGUGUAGAGGGCGCGUAGGCGGGGAUGCAAGUCAGAUGUGAAAUCCAUGGGCUCAACUCAUGAACCGCAUUUGAAACUGUAUCUCUUGAGUGCUGGAGAGGUAGAUGGAAUUCCUAGUGUAGCGGUGAAAUGCGUAGAUAUUAGGAAGAACACCAGUGGCGAAGGCGAUCUACUGGACAGUAACUGACGCUGAGGCGCGAAAGCGUGGGGAGCAAACAGGAUUAGAUACCCUGGUA